UGCAGGGGAGGAUUGGAGGCUUGCAGAUCGGCGAGUUCUUCUUCGGCUAGAGGAGGUUGAAGAAAGAAUGAGACGGGGAUAGAACAGGAGGCGUUGUGCUGGCGUAAUUAUGAUAACCUAGCCCGUUUUGAAAUAUUGGGUGUUAGUUAUUAGUGAUCUGUUGUGGGUUGAUAUAUUUUUUGGGGAAAUUUUUUCGGAAGAACUCCCAAUAUAUAGUUUUGGGAAGAACUUUUUGGGAAACUUUUGGAGUUGCUCUUAGACCCUCUUUGGAUCCACCUCAACUAAAAUUUAGCCAAUUAAAAUUUAAAACUAAAGUUUAGUUGACUAAAGUAGUAGUUGGUUAAAGUUUAGCAAGAUGUGUUUGGAUCCCUUAGAUAAAUGGUUGCUAUAGUCAAUUCUACCCUUAUCUCUCGUCUCUUCUUCUCUCUUAUCCUCUUCUUACUCCACACCUCCACUGCACAUCCAGCUCCUGACGCUCGACCCGUGUUGUCGUCGCGCAAGGAGCUCCGGAUCAGGGUCACCUGGAUGCGGGGCAUCGCUGGGGCCAAGGAUCGGGGGCACCGUCUACUGCCGGCGCAACCGGGCUCACCAUGUUCGUCGAUGACGGAUCCAGGUCGCUACAUCUGGCGGCAGUAGGCACGCCGCGCUGGCUCCGGCGGUGGUGGCGACGGGCGGGGGAUACCAUUUCCUGCAGAAGAAGCGGCCUCCACCACCGCAUGCCGUGCCGCCUCCUUCUCCCCUGCAGCUACGCCGCCGCCACCUCCAGCACCUCCAGCCACCUUCGGCGACCGCCUGGGCAGCGAAGAGGGGCUUAGCGGGGGGCAGAGCAGUGCGGGCGGCGUAGGAGAGGCUCGACCGGCGGCGGCCGCGGGAGCCACGGGCGAUGGGUAUGGGUGGUGUCGACAAUGUGUUGAUGGGUGGCGAUGGGGUGGGGAUCGGGAGCGAGACAAAAGGACCAGAAAGGCGACCAAAGGGGUGAAUGAGAGCCGAUUUAAAUUUUCUUCGAGAACUUUGGCUAAAAUCCCCUAAACCUCUCUUCUAGCAAAAUCAAGUCCACUUACCUAUUCACAAGCUAAUGGACCCAGGAAUGAUGCUAGGGACCCAAAUUGAGAGUAGUGGAAGAAAGAACGAGUCCAAAUGAGUAUCGGAAGAAUGACUUUUAAAACUAACACCUCAGUUCGGAAAAAUCCGGAGGAACCUUCGGAAAAUUCCGGAUAUUCCAAGAUUUCCAGAGAAACCUUCGUAAACUUCCGGAGGUCCGGAAAUUUCCGAAAUAUGCUCUGAAAUAUUUUGGAAUUCCAGAUUUCAGCCUUCGUGAGGAGAGAAGAAAAAUCCGAAACUCGACCAAACGAUCUUCAAAAAUCACGAAAUUUGAACCAUAGCAUCACAAGAUAGUAGAGAAACUAAUACUAAUAAAUCAUCCCUAAACAAUUUGUCAAUAAAAGGGGAAUUAUAAAUCUUGUGAAGAGCACAACUUUUUCAACCUCCAAACUUGAAUCGUCCCGAUCUAUGAACUCAUGAGAUUUCAAUCAAAUCCUUUCAGUGGAAAAGUUCAACUCAUGUCCUAGUUCUUUUCCAAAUAAUUGGUUCCACUCAAAAACCCCCACAAAAUAUGAAUCAAACAAAAACGUGAAAGGGGUGAGAAGGAAGAAACGAAGAACGCGAAGAACACAAACAGGAAUCACAAAUCCAAACGGGAUGGAGCAAGAUGGAACGAAAUAGAUCAUUGGAUUACUUAACCAUGUCCGGUUACAAGGCACUUCUAAGCACAAUCAAAACUUGGAUGGCAAAAAGAUCAACACAAAGAUCCCUCCUCUCUCCCUCUACCAAAGGCUCUCACAAAGUAAAUGAGAAAACCCCCACCAAAAUAACCAAAAGGAUGGCUGCCCCAACCAGCCAUCUCUCAUAUAUAUAGGCACUUGGCUAUUUCCCAAGUUGCCCUUACAUGAAGCAUACAACUCCAAACCCCCUAGGGGCAAAACCGUCCAACUUUUUCUUCACUU
RNAcentral lists this long non-coding RNA (2003 nucleotides) under Setaria viridis. Its description in RNAcentral is "long non-coding RNA (SVIR_LNC000006)". The record is from RNAcentral. Lineage: Eukaryota; Viridiplantae; Streptophyta; Magnoliopsida; Poales; Poaceae.